This 468-nucleotide ribosomal RNA is filed under the name uncultured bacterium. Its description in RNAcentral is "partial 16S ribosomal RNA". It matches the Rfam family "Bacterial small subunit ribosomal RNA", at positions 28 to 507 of the family's 1533-position model. The record is from RNAcentral.
GACGAACGCUGGCGGCGUGCUUAACACAUGCAAGUCGAACGGAAAGGCCCUGCUUUUGUGGGGUGCUCGAGUGGCGAACGGGUGAGUAACACGUGAGUAACCUGCCCUUGACUUUGGGAUAACUUCAGGAAACUGGGGCUAAUACCGGAUAGGAGCUCCUGCUGCAUGGUGGGGGUUGGAAAGUUUCGGCGGUUGGGGAUGGACUCGCGGCUUAUCAGCUUGUUGGUGGGGUAGUGGCUUACCAAGGCUUUGACGGGUAGCCGGCCUGAGAGGGUGACCGGCCACAUUGGGACUGAGAUACGGCCCAGACUCCUACGGGAGGCAGAAGUGGGGAAUAUUGCACAAUGGGCGGAAGCCUGAUGCAGCAACGCCGCGUGCGGGAUGACGGCCUUAGGGUUGUAAACCGCUUUCGCCUGUGACGAAGCGUGAGUGACGGUAAUGGGUAAAGAAGCACCGGCUAACUAAGUG